GACAGAGGGUGCAAACGUUGUUCGGAAUUACUGGGCGUAAAGCGCGUGUAGGCUGCUCAGAAAGUCGGAUGUGAAAGCCCUGGGCUUAACCUAGGAAGUGCAUUCGAAACUUCUGAGCUUGAGUUCUGGAGAGGAAGGCGGAAUUCUCGGUGUAGAGGUGAAAUUCGUAGAUAUCGAGAGGAACACCGGUGGCGAAGGCGGCAUCCUGGACCAAUACUGACACUGAGGAGCGAAAGCCAGGGGAGCAAACGGG
Molecule: ribosomal RNA, 253 nt
Filed under: uncultured bacterium
Lineage: Bacteria
Description: partial 16S ribosomal RNA
Rfam family: Bacterial small subunit ribosomal RNA
Source: RNAcentral